CCUUGACAUGAUUCUGUAUGAAGACUCUGAUUUCUCUUCUAAGACAAGGAUUGGAACUAUGCCAUACUUGGCUCCAGAAUAUGUAGAUUCCGGCGAAGUGUCUCCAAAGAGCGACUGCUAUUCCUCUGGGAUCAUACUUCUACAUCUGAUCAUAGGACUAAGGAGUACAGACCCACCAUUCGGAGAGCAAAGUAUUGUGAAAUGGGCAAAACCAUUGUCAAAAGAAAAAACCUACUGAGAAUUGAUUGAACACAGCCUGACCGACUCUUGCAAUGUCAACCAACUCGCUUGGAUGAUCCGAGUGGCGGAUAAGUGCCUGAUCAAGCAUCCUUACAAGAGAAUGUCCAUGGACCAGGUGGUUUACGCAUUGAAUCGCAUAGUAGACGGCGACACCAUUCAUGUCAUCAGGAACUUCUCGCCAACACAGUCAGAUUCUCGAAGUGGCAUUCAGGACUCCUCCUCCACCUCCUCCUCGUCAGGGUUCCUCUCCGAUGAUAAAUUCUUCACUACACAAACAUCGGCAAUACAUCUUUGUGCGUGACAUACACGACAUAGCUUGGAAGGAAAUUUAAGCCUUUAUUCACCCCCAAAAGCAGGUUGUUCAAGUACGCGAGGAACAUUUCAAUUUUUCAGAGAGGAUAGAGCUGUAGUAAUUGCCAUACUUAUAG
Long non-coding RNA from Syzygium oleosum, 668 nucleotides. RefSeq lists it as uncharacterized. Lineage: Eukaryota; Viridiplantae; Streptophyta; Magnoliopsida; Myrtales; Myrtaceae. The record is from RefSeq and is a predicted model, not a curated record. The transcript is spliced from 3 exons.